UCAUCAGUCCUCUUGUCAUCCACUGCUACAAAGCUUCAAAGUUCUCUUAAGCACUGCUUCUCUUGCCAUCACCCCCAUAGGCCCAAUGAGGUUUAGCAGCAGUGCGCUUCAAUGCCUUGACUCCCAAUGGGUUGUCCUUGCUCUGUUGCAUUGAGGAAUAUAAGUAAGCAAACACCAAAGAAGAUAUAAAUGGAGGAGGACCUUGGACAUCCAUUAUGGAAAAAAUAUCAAUGGGAUUCCACUUUUUCACCUAGCAUCUUAGGACAAGAUCCAUGUUUCAGAUAAAAACAUCACAAAAAGAGUCCUUUUUGGGUGCAAAAUUCAUCAUCAAGGAAAAUUAAAAGUUAAAACAGAGGAUUUAGAAAAGAAAAGAGAAAAAAAAAACCUUCUGCAUAUGAUAUUUACAAGAAACCAAAAUAGAUUUCAUUUAAAGACAAGGUGGACAGCAAAAUAGAUUUCAAGUAAUGAUCUUUUCAGUUGGUGUCCAAGUGCAAUGAGUAGUAGUGGUAUCAUAGCUCAAAAUGAAAGACAACGAAGUUUAGUUCUUACCAUCAUGCAGGUCCCUGCACGGACAUUGCAGACGGGAUAUUCCUGGGGGCAGCAGCUAUCAUGAUCUUCACAGCAGGUGGCAGCCUCAAGUGGGCAGCAUCCCCAUUGAAAGCAAUACUUAGCAUACUCAAAGAUGCAGCAGCAGGUGCUGCUCUCAGGACAUGCGUAGUAGUUAUCACAGACAGUUGGGGGCUUUAUUGGAGAGGGAGGAGACGGGCCAGGGUUGGGCGGGUUUUGGCCUUUUUUGAUAGGGUAAGAGGCUUCCAUAGCAAUUCCACACUUCCCUGUCGCACUAGUAGCAAGAUCACGCUCCAUCCUGAUAUAUCCUUCCUCUCCCCAGCUGGCACCCCAUGAGUUCUUUACAAUCCAGUAAUCCACACCAUUUUCUGUGCCAUAUCCAACAGCAGUAACACCAUGGUCCAGUGCUGUCCCACAUCUUCCAGUAAAUAUACCCUGAAGAGAUUGGGAAACAAAUAAAAAGAACCAAGUUAGAAAGGCAACUAUUUCAUGGUACAACAGGAUCACAUGGAAGAAACUGUUCUCAGUAUAACUUUUAUAUAAUUAUUCAACUUAUCCUGGGAUAGCUAUGCAGAGGGUCACCAAUUGAAGAAAGAAAUUUGGGAUCCGUACACCAUAAUCUACUGUAGUGGAACUUCCAAAAGAAAUAUCAUUACAAUAACAUAUUAUGCUUAAUUUUUUUUUGAUUGGUAACAUAUUAUGCUUAAUGAUACAGGAUCUUUGCCUCAUUUGGAGAAAAUAUAAUAUAACCAGAGAAAGAACUUUACCGAUUGGUAGAGUUGGAAUUCCCUGCCACCUGCUUCAAUGGCAACGCUCACUGGUUGAUUUGCCACUGCCUUUUCAAGUGACUUCUCAUCAUUCUCAGGAACAUCUUCAUACCCAUCGAUUGUAACAACC
This 1464-nucleotide long non-coding RNA is filed under the name Vitis vinifera (wine grape). Its description in RNAcentral is "long non-coding RNA (VVIN_LNC006012)". The record is from RNAcentral. Lineage: Eukaryota; Viridiplantae; Streptophyta; Magnoliopsida; Vitales; Vitaceae.